UUGGGCGCGUGCAGUCCCGUUGCGGCAUGCGCGCGAGUUUUCACUUUCGGCGGGCACUGUCCGCAACCUCGACACGAUUUGCUUUGUGGUCAAGGUUAAGGAUGAAGGCGGUGACACCCGGUGAACAGCUCCAUCCGAACUUGGUGCAGAGAGCAUCCAGAACUGAGCAGGUGAAGAAUGGGGCCCAGCAGAAGAGGAAUACCCCUGAAAAUAGCAAUCAAAAUAUAUGUAAUCCCUGUUCGCUUUGAAGAUGGUAAAUCUUGCUGCAGACGCUGCACUUCUGAACCUUCGGCGCGGAGUUGAUAUUAACGAGC
This is a long non-coding RNA of Pieris rapae (cabbage white), 314 nucleotides long. RefSeq lists it as uncharacterized. The record is from RefSeq and is a predicted model, not a curated record. Lineage: Eukaryota; Metazoa; Arthropoda; Insecta; Lepidoptera; Pieridae. The transcript has 3 exons.